Molecule: ribosomal RNA, 423 nt
Filed under: uncultured bacterium
Lineage: Bacteria
Description: partial 16S ribosomal RNA
Rfam family: Bacterial small subunit ribosomal RNA
Source: RNAcentral
AAUCUUCCGCAAUGGACGCAAGUCUGACGGAGCAACGCCGCGUGAGUGAUGAAGGUCUUCGGAUCGUAAAACUCUGUUGUUAGGGAAGAACAAGUACGAGAGUAACUGCUCGUACCUUGACGGUACCUAACCAGAAAGCCACUGCUAACUACGUGCCAGCAGCCGCGGUAAUACGUAGGUGGCAAGCGUUGUCCGGAAUUAUUGGGCGUAAAGCGCGCGCAGGCGGUCCCUUAAGUCUGAUGUGAAAGCCCACGGCUCAACCGUGGAGGGUCAUUGGAAACUGGGAGACUUGAGUGCAGAAGAGAAGAGUGGAAUUCCAUGUGUAGCGGUGAAAUGCGUAGAGAUAUGGAGGAACACCAGUGGCGAAGGCGACUCUUUGGUCUGUAACUGACGCUGAGGCGCGAAAGCGUGGGGAGCAAACAG